RNAcentral lists this ribosomal RNA (490 nucleotides) under Daphnia magniceps. Its description in RNAcentral is "partial 16S ribosomal RNA". It matches the Rfam family "Bacterial large subunit ribosomal RNA", at positions 1832 to 2588 of the family's 2925-position model. Lineage: Eukaryota; Metazoa; Arthropoda; Branchiopoda; Diplostraca; Daphniidae. The record is from RNAcentral.
CUCCUCUUGAACCAUAAGAGGUACCGUCUGCUCAAUGCAAUUUGUAAAUAGCCGCAGUAUUCUGACUGUGCUAAGGUAGCAUAAUCAUUAGUCUUUUAAUUGAAGGCUGGUAUGAAUGACGAGACGAGAAAAUAUCUGUCUCUAUAACAAAUAUUGAAUUUUAUUUUUAAGUGAAAAAGCUUAAAUAAUUUUGAAGGACGAUCAGACCCUUUGGAGCUUUAUUUAUUUUCUAGUUUAAAUUAGUUUAAGAUGAUUGAAUAAAAAAUAAAUUUUGUUGGGGCGACAGGGAGUAAAAAAUAACACUCUUUUUUAAAAACAAUUUUAAUUGGAAAAUUGAUCCUUAAAGAGAGAUUAAAAGACUAAGUUACCCUAGGGAUAACAGCGUAAUCUUUUUGGAGAGUUCAAAUCGAUAAAAAGGUUUGCGACCUCGAUGUUGGAUUAAGAGAUUAGCAAGGUGCAGAAGUUUUGUUGGAGAGUGCUGUUCGACUCU